This 253-nucleotide ribosomal RNA is filed under the name uncultured bacterium. RNAcentral describes it as "partial 16S ribosomal RNA". It matches the Rfam family "Bacterial small subunit ribosomal RNA", at positions 524 to 776 of the family's 1533-position model. The record is from RNAcentral.
UACGUAGGGGGCUAGCGUUGUCCGGAAUCAUUGGGCGUAAAGAGCGUGUAGGCGGCCCGGUAAGUCCGCUGUGAAAGUCGGGGGCUCAACCCUCGAAUGCCGGUGGAUACUGUCGGGCUAGAGUGCGGAAGAGGCGAGUGGAAUUCCUGGUGUAGCGGCGAAAUGCGCAGAUAUCAGGAGGAACACCAAUUGCGAAGGCAGCUCGCUGGGACGUAACUGACGCUGAGACGCGAAAGCGUGGGGAGCAAACAGG